RNAcentral lists this ribosomal RNA (252 nucleotides) under uncultured bacterium. Its description in RNAcentral is "partial 16S ribosomal RNA". It matches the Rfam family "Bacterial small subunit ribosomal RNA", at positions 30 to 289 of the family's 1533-position model. The record is from RNAcentral.
UUGAACGCUGGCGGCAUGCCUUACACAUGCAAGUCGAACGGUAGAGGGGCAACCCUUGAGAGUGGCGAACGGGUGAGUAAUGCAUCGGAACGUGCCCAGUCGUGGGGGAUAACGCAGCGAGAGCUGUGCUAAUACCGCAUGUGAUCUGUGGAUGAAAGCAGGGGACCGCAAGGCCUUGUGCGAUUGGAGCGGCCGAUGUCAGAUUAGCUAGUUGGUAGGGUAAAAGCCUACCAAGGCGACGAUCUGUAGCUG